AUUGAACGCUGGCGACAUGCCUUACACAUGCAAGUCGAACGCGAAAGUCCUUCGGGCGAGUAGAGUGGCGGACGGGUGAGUAACGCGUGGGAAUCUACCCUAGAGCGGGGGACGAACCCGGGGAAACCCGGGCUAAUACCGCAUACGUCCUACGGGAGAAAGAGGGCCUCUGCUUGCACGCUCUCACUCCAGGAUGAGCCCACGUCCGAUUAGCUAGUUGGUAGGGUAAAGGCCUACCAAGGCCACGAUCGGUAGCUGGUCUGAGAGGAUGAUCAGCCACACUGGGACUGAGACACGGCCCAGACUCCUACGGGAGGCAGCAGUGGGGAAUAUUGGACAAUGGGCGCAAGCCUGAUCCAGCAAUGCCGCGUGUGUAAAGAAGGCCUGCGGGUCGUAAAGCACUUUUCAGUGGGGGAAGAACAGAUUCGGGUCAAUACCCCGGAGCCCUGACGUUACCCACAGAAGAAGCACCGGCUAACUCCGUG
RNAcentral lists this ribosomal RNA (485 nucleotides) under uncultured bacterium. Its description in RNAcentral is "bacterial SSU rRNA". It matches the Rfam family "Bacterial small subunit ribosomal RNA", at positions 29 to 507 of the family's 1533-position model. The record is from RNAcentral.